This 253-nucleotide ribosomal RNA is filed under the name uncultured bacterium. RNAcentral's name for it is "partial 16S ribosomal RNA". It matches the Rfam family "Bacterial small subunit ribosomal RNA", at positions 524 to 776 of the family's 1533-position model. The record is from RNAcentral.
UACAGAGACUGCAAGCGUUAUUCGGAUUCACUGGGCGUAAAGGGUGCGCAGGCGGCCAGGUGUGUUAGGCGUGAAAGCCCGGGGCUUAACCCCGGAAUUGCACCUAAAACUACUUGGCUAGAGCAUUGGAGAGGGGAGCAGAAUUCAUGGUGUAGCAGUGAAAUGCGUAGAUAUCAUGAGGAAUACCAGAGGCGAAGGCGGCUCCCUGGACAAUUGCUGACACUCAGGCACGAAAGCGUGGGGAGCAAAAGGG